GAGGGUGUAGCUCAGUGGUAGAGUGUGUGCUUAGCUUGCACUAGGUCCUGGGUUCAAUCCCCAGUACCUCCA
This 72-nucleotide transfer RNA is filed under the name Camelus ferus (Wild Bactrian camel). It matches the Rfam family "tRNA". Rfam says of the family: Transfer RNA (tRNA) molecules are approximately 80 nucleotides in length. Their secondary structure includes four short double-helical elements and three loops (D, anti-codon, and T loops). Lineage: Eukaryota; Metazoa; Chordata; Mammalia; Artiodactyla; Camelidae. The record is from Rfam by way of RNAcentral.